This 623-nucleotide unclassified non-coding RNA is filed under the name Hevea brasiliensis (rubber tree). Lineage: Eukaryota; Viridiplantae; Streptophyta; Magnoliopsida; Malpighiales; Euphorbiaceae. The record is from RNAcentral.
UGGCGUAUUCCGCGUUCACCUCCAGCCACUUCUCAAGGCUGGGCUCGGUGUCGGGCUUGAUCGCGUCCGCCGGGCAUUCAGGUUCGCACACACCGCAGUCGAUGCAUUCGUCCGGAUGGAUCACCAGCAUGUUCUCGCCCUCGUAGAAGCAAUCCACGGGGCAAACUUCCACGCAGUCCAUGUACUUGCACUUGAUGCAGUUUUCAGUGACGACGUACGUCAUCCAAGGCUCCGGAAGGGUCUAAAAUUUCAGUUUGGCGUAGCGCAGGAUGUGCAUCGCCGCAAGGGAAGUUCUGCCCGUAGUUAGAGGCAAUUAGUUACUCGGGAGGCGUUUGUAAAUCAGCGUAGAUUGCGCGUCCCGCAGCCGCAUCCCCUCGCCGGUCCACGAAUCCGGUGAUCUUGAGCACACGAACCCGGCUGUCGAGCGCGAUGGUGAGGACGUCGUCUGCCUUCACCGCAUGUCCCGGUGACGUCUGGCGCAUACCGUUGAUGCGAACGCGCCCUUUUGCGACCAGAGCCGCGGCAUCGACCCGGGUCUUGACGAUCCGCGCANNNNNNNNNNCAAAUUAUUCCUUGCGGUUGCCCGCAAGCUGCUCCUUGAGCGCCGCCAGCUUUGCAAACGG